GUAUAGAGUAUGGUGUUAGGGUAGUGUGUUGUAGGGUAAUGGGUAAUUUAUAGAGUAUUAUGUUAGGGUAGUGUAGUGUAAGGUAGUGGGUAAUGUAUAGAGUAUUGUGUUAGGGUAGUGUAGUGUAAGGUAGUGGGUAAUGUAUAGAGUAUUGUGUUAGGGUAGUGUAUUGUAGGGUAGUGGGUAAUGUAUAGAGUAUUGUGUUAGGGUAGUGUAGUGUAGGGUAGUGGGUAAUGUAUAGAGUAUUGUGUUAGGGUAGUGUAGGGUAGGGUAGUGGGUAAUGUAUAGAGUAUUGUGUUAGGGUAGUGUAGGGUAGUGGGUAAUGUAUAGAGUAUUGUGUUAGGGUAGUGUAGUGUAGGGUAGUGGGUAAUGUAUAGAGUAUUGUGUUAGGGUAGUGUAGGGUAGUGGGUAAUGUAUAGAGUAUUGUGUUAGGGUAGUGUAGUGUAGGGUAGUGGGUAAUGUAUAGAGUAUUGUGUUAGGGUAGUGUAGUGUAGGGUAGUGGGUAAUGUAUAGAGUAUUGUGUUAGGGUAUGUAGUGUAG
Non-coding RNA from Pelobates cultripes (western spadefoot toad), 540 nucleotides. The record is from the annotation of a GenBank genome assembly. NCBI's taxonomy places the organism in Eukaryota, Metazoa, Chordata, Amphibia, Anura, Pelobatidae.